Molecule: long non-coding RNA, 1964 nt
Filed under: Equus caballus (horse)
Lineage: Eukaryota; Metazoa; Chordata; Mammalia; Perissodactyla; Equidae
Description: lncRNA (ENSECAG00000051119.1)
Source: RNAcentral
AAUUAUUGAUCAUAGUAAAACACUGGAAACAAGAUAGAUCCAAAUAUACUACAAUAUGGAGGGUGAAGGGGAUUGGUUAAAUAAAUUAUGGUCCACAUGGUGGACACAGAAGUACCAGGCAGCCAUUAAAAUGACGUUGUAGUCUUCUAUUUUUAUGUCAUGGGAAAUUGUGUAAGUUACAUUGUGAGGUUUAGAAAAAGGUGGUAGUCAGUUCUUCUGGUGACAUGUUGUGGUGGAUGCAAAAACAAUAUGGUUUCAAUUUUUCAUAAAAAAGUGUAAAAAUACCCAGGCUCAUUAUGUCAUGAAACAAAUAAUAAAAUGGAGAAGGACUUGCACGAACUAAGGACAGAUGUAUAGGAUGAACAAAGCAUUAUGCCUAAUACCAUUUGAGCACCAGAAGUCCACAAAAAACAAAAGCUUCUGUUAAACUCAUCUCCUUAAUAAUGCAUUUUUUGGUUACCGCUUUCUUCUUCUCCUUAGCCUCUUCUCCUCCUUACCACUUACAAAUUCAGUUUAAAACUGAGUAAAAUCUAAAUUCAAGCCUUUGAAAUAGGGAACUUGUACAUUAUUGAAUAAAACAUUUAAAAGUCAUGGUAAAUGUUAAAAAAGAUCUGAGAUUUUGUGACUGACAUGAAUCUUAACAUCAAAUUGAACGCUUAAGAAUAUAGGAUUUCCUCUCUGGAUCCAUUGAUUGAUUUUUUUGUAUGUAAAAGAUUUUUAAGCCUAUGGCUUUGAUUAUGUCACUUGUGACAUAAUAUUUUUAAAAUGUAUAUGAGCAUUUGUGGCUUAGGAUAUAGUAUGUGUUCCAUUGAAAUAAAAUGGUAUUUCUUUAAAAAUAGUUAUAAUUAAGUCAUUUUGCUAAACUCUGUGGGCCUUCCCUCUCCUGAUUUUGAAAUUUGGCAUGUUGCUUGGUGACGAUUUGUAAAGUGCUUUUCAUUUGGGCAGCCGCUACUCUCUCCAGCUACACUUAAAGCCACAGAGAAUUUUUCUACCUUCAGCACCCAUUUUGGGAGGGUCCUGGUAAGUGCUAAGUAAAUGUCAGCUAGUUGACUUCCUGUCUGACCUGCUUUGGGCUGUUUCCUGCUCAUCAGCAUCUCCACUAGGUGGCGGGCUGGGCUAGAGAAGAAAGAAGGAAAGCAAAUUUUUCUUUUUCUGGCUAACCUUGUCCUCCCUCUGGGCCGCUCCAGCGCCUAGCCUGGUGACUGCACAGAGCUCCUGGGACACGUGUACAGUUCCGGGCAACACAGGGAAAGUUCUGUGUUCCAAAGUGAUUCAUGACAUGUGUUUAUUUAUACAUUAUCUUCUUUUAGCCUUCUGUGUAUAGAAGGAAAGGGGGAAGUAUGCUAAUUUACCCAGGCCUUAAAAUGUGUUGACUAUAAGGCAAUUGAGUAAUCAUGGCAUUUCUAAUACUCUCAAGUCCUGUGUCCUUGAGAACCAGAAUAUUUUUGUGUGGUGGAUGGGAGGUUGAGAAACAAUGACCAAGCCAGGAGCAAUGAACACUCCUACCACCCGGAUCUGAAAAUACCAUUUCCGCUGGUAAGAAACCAGAGCUUGGAGAAAUGGCUCAUUCCAAGUCUGGGGCAGAAAAUGCACAAGAUGAGUGUGGAAUAGCUUAUCUUACCAGAGAGCAAAGAGGCCAGCAAACACUGUCGGGGUGAUGUCAAAGGGACUCAGGAGCCCAGCUCUCACAGACAAGGAUGGGACAAUUUGAGCAUUAAUAAGGAUUAAAAAAGGAAAUGCAAGGAAGUGAGUCACACACACCAUGGUAUCCAUUUAUGCCAGGAAGGGCGGGCUGUGAUGAAGAUGAAGAACAUGGUUGGGGGGGGGAUUUUGGGUGUCUGGCAAAUUUCUGUUUCUUUCUCUAGGUGAUGGUUUUAACGGUGUUCACUUUAUAUUAGUUUACUAAGCUAUAUUCUAUUUGUUUUGUAUGGUUUUCUGUAUCUGUGUUUUAUUUUAAAAUAAAA